CCUACGUGUGGCUGCAGUGGGGAAUAUUGGGCAAUGGGCGCAAGCCUGACCCAGCAACGCCGCGUGAAGGAAGAAGGCUUUCGGGUUGUAAACUUCUUUUGACAGGGAAGAGAAGAAGACGGUACCCGUUGAAUAAGCCACGGCUAACUACGUGCCAGCAGCCGAGGUAAUACGUAGGUGGCAAGCGUUGUCCGGAUUUACUGGGUGUAAAGGGCGUGCAGCCGGGGAGACAAGUCAGAUGUGAAAUCCAGGGGCGCAACCCAGGAACUGCAUUUGAAACUGUUGACCUUGAGUGCUGGAGAGGCAAACGGAAUUCCUAGUGUAGCGGUGAAAUGCGUAGAUAUUAGGAGGAACACCAGUGGCGAAGGCGGAUUACUGGACGGUAACUGACGGUGAGGCGCGAAAGCGUGGGGAGCAAACAGGAUUAGAUACCCCGGUAGUC
Molecule: ribosomal RNA, 442 nt
Filed under: uncultured bacterium
Lineage: Bacteria
Description: partial 16S ribosomal RNA
Rfam family: Bacterial small subunit ribosomal RNA
Source: RNAcentral